Non-coding RNA from Dipodomys ordii (Ord's kangaroo rat), 65 nucleotides. The record is from Rfam. Lineage: Eukaryota; Metazoa; Chordata; Mammalia; Rodentia; Heteromyidae.
GGUGACUCAGUGGUAGAGUACUUGCAUUGCAUGCAUGAGGUUCUGGGUUCGAUUCCUCAGCACCA